CAAUGGCUAUAACAAAGAGAAGCGAGACGGAGACGUUAAGCGAAACCCAAAAAAGUAGUCUCAGUUCGGAUUGGAGGCUGAAACCCGCCUCCAUGAAGUUGGAUUCGCUAGUAAUCGCGCAUCAGCCAUGGCGCGGUGAAUACGUUCCCGGGCCUUGUACACACCGCCCGUCAAGCCAUGGGAGCUGGGGGUGCCUGAAGUUCGUGACCGCAAGGAUCGACCUAGGGCAAAACCGGUGACUGGGGCUAAGUCGUAACAAGGUAUC
This 265-nucleotide ribosomal RNA is filed under the name uncultured bacterium. RNAcentral's name for it is "partial 16S ribosomal RNA". It matches the Rfam family "Bacterial small subunit ribosomal RNA", at positions 1228 to 1500 of the family's 1533-position model. The record is from RNAcentral.